RNAcentral lists this unclassified non-coding RNA (886 nucleotides) under Hevea brasiliensis (rubber tree). The record is from RNAcentral. Lineage: Eukaryota; Viridiplantae; Streptophyta; Magnoliopsida; Malpighiales; Euphorbiaceae.
CAACCAUGCCAUGCUCCAUUACACAAAGGUGGACUUUGUCAGAGAAGAGAUUUGAGAGUUUGCCCUUUCCAUGGACCCGUCAUACCCCGAGACGAUGAAGGAAAUCCUAUCAAUAAGAGCACUUCAACAAGUGAUACAACUCUUGAUUCUGAUUUAAUAGAGCAAUUAGCAAAACAAGCUGUAAAGAAUGUUCGGAAUAGAGAGAAUGAGGAAGCUAAUAAAAGAAAAUUGGAUAAGCAAUCACAGAAGCGUGCAAAGCUUGCUAAGAUUCGUGAACAUAAUGAAGCGGUUCUGAGAGAUGCUGCAUUGGCAUCGACCUCUAAUUCUGUAUUUGCUGGGGAGGAUGUGAAGGCAACCACUGGGGGGAGGUUGGCUAGAAACAAAAAGAAAAGCCUUGCAUCAAUGCUGCACAAGAAAGAAUCCACAAAAGAUAGGUUAGCACAGAGACUUUUGAAUACCCGGGCAAGGGAUGCUACAAUAAGGCUGGUGACACUUGGUGAGGAUGCAAAUUACAGAGAAGCUUUCCCUAAUCAAUGGUAGAUGGAUGGAUGUCUUUAUUGUGCUUUGGGACUUCCAGAAAGGACUGAACUGCUUAACAUGCCUAUGCUGCUAAGACAAGAAACAGCUUCAGUUUGAUGGAAAACAAUUAUUGCAUGUUGAUCUCGCAGAGGAUUGAAUUUGUUCAAAUAGUUUGCUGUGAAUAUUUUUUGAAGUCAAGGUAUCUACUUGUUCCACCGUUAUGGGUUUUCAGAGGGAGAAAGAUAGGAGCGGUUUUGUUGGCAAACUUUUUAAUCUGUAUAAGGCUUUUUCCUUUUUUCCCUGAAACAUUUUUGUAACAUAUUUUAACUACUGGACACAAAUGAAGAAUUGGGUCAUUGCAAAUAAA